RNAcentral lists this ribosomal RNA (253 nucleotides) under uncultured bacterium. Its description in RNAcentral is "partial 16S ribosomal RNA". It matches the Rfam family "Bacterial small subunit ribosomal RNA", at positions 524 to 776 of the family's 1533-position model. The record is from RNAcentral.
GACGAACCGUGCGAACGUUGUUCGGAAUCACUGGGCUUAAAGGGCGCGUAGGCGGGUGCUCAAGUCUGUGGUGAAAUCCUCCGGCUCAACCGGAGAACUGCCAUGGAUACUGGGCGUCUCGAGUGUGGUAGGGGUAUGCGGAACUAUCGGUGGAGCGGUGAAAUGCGUUGAUAUCGAUAGGAACUCCGGUGGCGAAGGCGGCAUACUGGACCACCACUGACGCUGAUGCGCGAAAGCCAGGGGAGCAAACGGG